GACGAACGCUGGCGGCGUGCUUAACACAUGCAAGUCGAACGGAAAGGCCCUGCUUUUGUGGGGUGCUCGAGUGGCGAACGGGUGAGUAACACGUGAGUAACCUGCCCUUGACUUUGGGAUAACUUCAGGAAACUGGGGCUAAUACCGGAUAGGAGCUCCUGCUGCAUGGUGGGGGUUGGAAAGUUUCGGCGGUUGGGGAUGGACUCGCGGCUUAUCAGCUUGUUGGUGGGGUAGUGGCUUACCAAGGCUUUGACGGGUAGCCGGCCUGAGAGGGUGACCGGCCACAUUGGGACUGGGAUACGGCCCAGACUCCUACGGGAGGCAGAAGUGGGGAAUAUUGCACAAUGGGCGGAAGCCUGAUGCAGCAACGCCGCGUGCGGGAUGACGGCCUUCGGGUUGUAACCCGCUUUCGCCUGUGACGAAGCGUGAGUGACGGUAAUGGGUAAAGAAGCACCGGCUAACUACGUG
This 468-nucleotide ribosomal RNA is filed under the name uncultured bacterium. RNAcentral's name for it is "partial 16S ribosomal RNA". It matches the Rfam family "Bacterial small subunit ribosomal RNA", at positions 28 to 507 of the family's 1533-position model. The record is from RNAcentral.